This 468-nucleotide ribosomal RNA is filed under the name uncultured bacterium. RNAcentral's name for it is "partial 16S ribosomal RNA". It matches the Rfam family "Bacterial small subunit ribosomal RNA", at positions 28 to 507 of the family's 1533-position model. The record is from RNAcentral.
GACGAACGCUGGCGGCGUGCUUAACACAUGCAAGUCGAACGGAAAGGCCCUGCUUUUGUGGGGUGCUCGAGUGGCGAACGGGUGAGUAACACGUGAGUAACCUGCCCUUGACUUUGGGAUAACUUCAGGAAACUGGGGCUAAUACCGGAUAGGAGCUCCUGCUGCAUGGUGGGGGUUGGAAAGUUUCGGCGGUUGGGGAUGGACUCGCGGCUUAUCAGCUUGUUGGUGGGGUAGUGGCUCACCAAGGCUUUGACGGGUAGCCGGCCUGAGAGGGUGACCGGCCACAUUGGGACUGAGAUACGGCCCAGGCUCCUACGGGAGGCAGCAGUGGGGAAUAUUGCACAAUGGGCGGAAGCCUGAUGCAGCAACGCCGCGUGCGGGAUGACGGCCUUCGGGUUGUAAACCGCUUUCGCCUGUGACGAAGCGUGAGUGACGGUAAUGGGUAAAGAAGCACCGGCUAACUACGUG